GCCUUCGUAGUGUAGUGGUCAGCAUGCUCGACGCGUAACCGAGAGGUCCGUGGUUCGAUUCCUGGCGAAGGCU
RNAcentral lists this transfer RNA (73 nucleotides) under Stegodyphus mimosarum. It matches the Rfam family "tRNA". Rfam says of the family: Transfer RNA (tRNA) molecules are approximately 80 nucleotides in length. Their secondary structure includes four short double-helical elements and three loops (D, anti-codon, and T loops). The record is from Rfam by way of RNAcentral. Lineage: Eukaryota; Metazoa; Arthropoda; Arachnida; Araneae; Eresidae.